Molecule: ribosomal RNA, 447 nt
Filed under: uncultured Sphingobacteriales bacterium
Lineage: Bacteria; Pseudomonadati; Bacteroidota; Sphingobacteriia; Sphingobacteriales
Description: bacterial SSU rRNA
Rfam family: Bacterial small subunit ribosomal RNA
Source: RNAcentral
AGGAACAUGUGGUUUAAUUCGAUGAUACGCGAGGAACCUUACCUGGGCUUAAAUGUAGAGCGACAGAUCGGGAAACUGGUCCUUCUUCGGACGAUCUACAAGGUGCUGCAUGGUUGUCGUCAGCUCGUGCCGUGAGGUGUCGGGUUAAGUCCCAUAACGAGCGCAACCCUUAUCGUUAGUUGCCAGCGGGUAAUGCCGGGGACUCUAACGAAACUGCCGGUGUAAACCGUGAGGAAGUGGGGAUGACGUCAAAUCAGCACGGCCCUUAUGUCCAGGGCGACACACGUGUUACAAUGGCCGGUACAGAGGGCAGCUACCUGGUGACAGGAUGCAAAUCUCCAAAACCGGUCUCAGUUCGGAUCGAAGUCUGCAACUCGACUUCGUGAAGCUGGAUUCGCUAGUAAUCGCGCAUCAGCCAUGGCGCGGUCGAAUACGUUCCCGGGCCUU